This 1616-nucleotide long non-coding RNA is filed under the name Homo sapiens (human). RNAcentral's name for it is "HSALNT0353653". Lineage: Eukaryota; Metazoa; Chordata; Mammalia; Primates; Hominidae. The record is from RNAcentral.
CACACACAGAUUCUGGUUCCUGAUCAAUAACACAGGAAACAUUUAUUGAACUCCUCACAACCAACUAAGUCAACAGGUUUUAUUCCCUCAGUUUACCCUGGAGAGUGAUGGAAAUCAGGACAGUGUUGGAAGAUAACAAGCUGGGGCCUGGGACCCAGGGUUCUUGUGAGCCCAGGGCCUGCGCUCUUAGGAUCUGUACCUCACCGAAACCUGUUCUCUAACUACUGCCUGUAACAGGAGGGAAACUGAUUAGGGAUAGCGGUGUAGGGUAUGAUGCCAAAGAAAGCAAGUUUUCGGUCAGUUUUCAACAAAGAGCAGAUUGCGUUGAUAUGCUUCAGGAGAACAUCUGUGAUGUCUCCAUGAAUUACUGCAUGGGUACAAUCUUGGAAGUCUUUAUGCGAGGAUGAAAGUACUGUAGUUUUACAGUAGGACAGCAGCGUCUAUGUGGGCGUUUAGAUUUUAUUUUGAACUCUGGAGAUCAGUGUUCUCUCUCCUCUAGCCUUUGACCACAUAAAUUAAAGGUUAAAAAAAAUCGGCUCAACUCAACUGGCCAAAGUCAAGCUGAGGCCUUCCUUUUAAUCACUAUCAAUACUGGAGCGCCUCCACCCCCAAUUUCUGUGGCCGGUGGACGUUUGGAGGUUUUUCUUAAGGUCUUUUUCACUUCAAGAAUGGAGACGCGCUUGGUUCCGAAAUACAAUGAAGACUCUUGGAACAAAGGUGUCUGCAGGUUUCUGAACCUCACCGCAGAACAGGCGCGGAGUCAGGCCCCUGGAUUUGCCCUGUUGGAAGGAGGGCCGCGGAGACGCAGGCGCUCCGGGUCGCCCGCGCUGCCCCUGUCUGCCCCGUGCGGGAGCCGGGGUCCCUGGCUCCCUGGCUCCCUGGCUCCCGCGGCCCGGGCGAACCCAGAGCGCACCCGUACGCCGGCCCCGGCCGGUCCCUAGCGCCCGGGCUCCACGGGCCGCGCCCCCACGCGGCGCCUCCCAGAGACCCUCCUCCCUCCGGGUGGGCGGCGCAGCGGGGCCUCGGCGCCGCGAGGACCCCCCGCGCCAGAACAAAGGAAUGUGGGGAGGGGGCAGGGAGGAGCUCAGGCCACUGAGCAGCCCCAGUAUAACUGCCGUUCGGAGGCGCUUCUCGGUCCCGACCCGAGGUCCCCGCCCGCCACUACCAGACCCGCCCCCAGCCCCGGAUUCUCGCAGACCCCACCGGCCCGCAGGAGGGAGCGGCGCACUGGGGGCCGCACGGACUCGCCAUUGGAGAUCGCGAUCGGAAGGUGGCGCCACGCGGCCCCUACAGGCCUGGGACUCCCACCCGAGCUCGCAAACUGCAGAAUGUCUUGAGCUGGAACAUCCCCAAGAGGCCAUAUAUAUAUCCCAGGGAUUUUACAGUGGACCUCACUAGGCCGGAGUAACUGUAAAGUCAGAUGGAUAAUGAGAAUUCAGGACGUUAGCCACACGUGGACUGUGGCAAAAAGAAAGUGACCCACUGAAGAAGACUGUUUUUCAGCUCUCUCAUCAAUUGCUGUUUCCAGGAGCCCACAGCUCCAAUUACUCAAAAGAACGUUGACUUUUUUUUUUUUGGUAAAAUAUCCUGAUUUUCAGGUUAGGCAAGCAAUUCAU